Molecule: ribosomal RNA, 736 nt
Filed under: Elsinoe perseae
Lineage: Eukaryota; Fungi; Ascomycota; Dothideomycetes; Myriangiales; Elsinoaceae
Description: eukaryotic LSU rRNA
Rfam family: Eukaryotic large subunit ribosomal RNA
Source: RNAcentral
GGCGUCCGAGUUGUAAUUUGUAGAGGAUGCUAUUGGGUUGCCACCGGUCUAAGUUCCUUGGAACAGGACGUCACAGAGGGUGAGAAUCCCGUAUGUGACCGGCCAGGCGCCCUCCGUAUAGCUCCUUCGACGAGUCGGGUUGUUUGGGAAUGCAGCCCUAAAUGGGAGGUAAAUUUCUUCUAAAGCUAAAUACCGGCCAGAGACCGAUAGCGCACAAGUAGAGUGAUCGAAAGAUGAAAAGCACUUUGGAAAGAGAGUUAAAAAGCACGUGAAAUUGUUGAAAGGGAAGCGCUUGCAAUCAGUCUCGACGGCGGCUGUUCGGCCUCUCUUCUGAGUGGUUUAUUCAGUCGCCGCCGGGCCAGCAUCAGUUUCGGCGGUCGGACAAAGGCGCGGGGAAUGUAGCUCCCUCGGGAGUGUUAUAGCCCCGCGUGCAAUACGGCCCGCCGGGACUGAGGUCCGCGCUCCGGCUAGGAUGCUGGCGAAAUGGUUGUAAGCGGCCCGUCUUGAAACACGGACCAAGGAGUCUAACAUCUACGCGAGUGUUUGGGUGUCAAACCCGUGCGCGCAAUGAAAGUGAACGGAGGUGGGAACCGCAAGGUGCACCAUCGACCGAUCCUGAUGUCUUCGGAUGGAUUUGAGUAAGAGCGUAGCUGUUGGGACCCGAAAGAUGGUGAACUAUGCCUGAAUAGGGUGAAGCCAGAGGAAACUCUGGUGGAGGCUCGCAGCGGUUCUGACG